UUCGAGCGCAGGAUACCAGAUGACCCCUUCGGGGUGAUUCUGGCGGAAUGAGCGGCGGACGGGUGAGUAACACGUGGGCAACCUGCCUGUAAGACUGGGAUAACUUCGGGAAACCGGAGCUAAUACCGGAUAGUAUUUCCUUUCUCCUGAUUGGAAAUGGAAAGACGGUUUCGGCUGUCACUUACAGAUGGGCCCGCGGUGCAUUAGCUAGUUGGUGGGGUAAUGGCCCACCAAGGCGACGAUGCAUAGCCGACCUGAGAGGGUGAUCGGCCACACUGGGACUGAGACACGGCCCAGACUCCUACGGGAGGCAGCAGUAGGGAAUCUUCCGCAAUGGACGAAAGUCUGACGGAGCAACGCCGCGUGAGCGAUGAAGGCCUUCGGGUCGUAAAGCUCUGUUGUCAGGGAAGAAUAAGUACAAGAGUAACUGCUUGUACCUUGACGGUACCUGACCAGAAAGCCCCGGCUAACUACGUGCCAGCAGCCGCGGUAAUACGUAGGGGGCAAGCGUUGUCCGGAAUUAUUGGGCGUAAAGGGCGCGUAGGCGGUUUCUUAAGUCUGAUGUGAAAGCCCACAGCUUAACUGUGGAGGGUCAUUGGAAACUGGGGAACUUGAGUGCAGAAGAGGAGAGUGGAAUUCCACGUGUAGCGGUGAAAUGCGUAGAUAUGUGGAGGAACACCAGUGGCGAAGGCGACUCUCUGGUCUGUAUGUGACGCUGAGGCGCGAUAGCGUGGGGAGCGAACAGGAUUAGAUAACCUGCUAGUUCACGCCUGAAGCACCGAGUGAUAGGUGU
RNAcentral lists this ribosomal RNA (793 nucleotides) under Terribacillus sp. MJAU D0035. RNAcentral's name for it is "bacterial SSU rRNA". It matches the Rfam family "Bacterial small subunit ribosomal RNA", at positions 56 to 823 of the family's 1533-position model. The record is from RNAcentral. RNAcentral also lists the same sequence under 1 other name. Lineage: Bacteria; Bacillati; Bacillota; Bacilli; Caryophanales; Bacillaceae.